This is a long non-coding RNA of Carassius gibelio (silver crucian carp), 1161 nucleotides long. RefSeq lists it as uncharacterized. The transcript is spliced from 2 exons. NCBI's taxonomy places the organism in Eukaryota, Metazoa, Chordata, Actinopteri, Cypriniformes, Cyprinidae. The record is from RefSeq and is a predicted model, not a curated record.
UUGAUUUGUCAAUUUCACAAUGUUGUUUCAACAAAUGCUAUAGAAAAUGCACUAUAUUCCAAGUCUUCUGAAUGUGAUAUGAGACUUUGUGCAAUUAUCAGUGAAAAACGUCCAAAUUUUGUCUGUUUGUCACACAGAGUUAUCAUAUGGCCUCAUAAGGCUUGGAAUAUAGCACAGUAUUUAAAUAAUAAUAAUAAUCUGUUCUCUGGACAGGUGAUUUUUAGAUAAAGCUUUCUCAUUAGACAAAUGCUGAUGCUACGAGAUCAUCUGAAUACUGUGCAACAUAUUUGUUUUUAAGGUAAAACGGGAGAUAAAGGCAUUACGGUCUUAAUAUUCACCCAUUAGGAAUAUCAGGAAAGUUUGCAAUAUUAUUGUCAAUGUCCUGUGAUUUGGGACACACUAAAUCUCGUCUGGCACACUGUUUAGAUUGUAUUUGAGUUGGGACGCAGUAUUGAUUUAAAAACAGCAGCAGCUUCACCCAUCUAAUGAGUGAGGUAAAGUUAAUCAUUACAGGAUGAGGACUUUGUUAAAGGGCAUUAAUUUAAGUUAAUAUCGCCUUGUGCCAAUUAAGGCAGUUUACCUUGCUGGCAGCUUGCGAAGGGAGAACAGGUGUGUGUAUUUGUACUGAUUACUACCAGAGACAAACAGCAGAGAGAGGCUUGUCCUUGUCGGGACGGAGGUGUUGGAUGAAACCGUUCCCUCCCUUUCUGCCGAAUGAGACGGCCAGGCCUACAGUGCUGGACACACACUCACUCACACUCCAACUGAAUUUGGCUGCAAGUACAUGUGCCUCUUCCCACCUACCAGGUCACUGGUAAUGUAACCCUCCCUCCCAAACACAUCCAUGAUGCUUCCGGGCCUCUCUGGGAGUUUCCAUAUGUUAUGAUGAUUUCAACACAAAAGCCCAGCUCUGAGACUCGGUAAAGAUAACAGCUUCUGACGGACUGACUUCCAAAACCGUGAACUGCUGUGCUGUCUACUAACUACUAGGGAUGGACAUUUUUAGUCAUUUCGUUUACAUGAGUACUUGGUAGAUGAGUACAUCCUGUAUGUAUCAUACAUGGCAUUGUUUCACAAGUCACUUUUUUGGAAGCAUUUUGUAUAUUUAUUAUUCUAUGUCCCAUUAAAACAUAAGGCAAGACUUGCUGCCAAACUCAAUAA